CACAAAAUUUACGUGUGUUAUAUGUACGUACCUUCUCUUCUCGCGAAUUAUACGGUCAGUACGGAACUGAGCACAAAGACAAUGUUUUGACGCACUGAAAUUUAUUGUAGCCCUUUCCCCCCAAAAAACACGCAAAUACUAAGGAUUCUUCGUAGUUACUACAUGUACUAUGUGUCACGAUUGAUGAUUUUUGAUGAGAAAAGGGUGCACGGUUCUGGAGAUCAAGAAUAUACCUCUUGUGUGUGAUGCUCCUUGCACAACCAUUUGGAGAGGCACACUGGCUGACUCUAGGCAAUCUACUUUUUCCAUAUAAAUAUUAGUUUGUGUUCCAUGUUACAACCACAAGACAAGCUCCCUUUGACGGGAUGCUGUGAAUGAUGACAUCUGCAUAUGCUCAGUCUCAAGAGUGAUAUUUUCCAGCACUACAUGUAGUGCAUGUAGCUGAUUUUGACAAUGAGAGAGUGGUAUUGUGGCUGUGCAAAUAUUGCCUAAUACUCUGAGUCUUUCGUGUCAACUGUUUAUGUGAGCCUCUUCAUGUCUGCAUUAUUCAAGUAUGCAUUGGUAAAUAGAAUUGGCUGUGGAUUUCAUAACUAGUGCUGUGCAAUACGACUCAUACUGAAACAUACAUCAUCUGAGCAUCGAGGAAGUUCACAUGUGUUCUUAUACACAUGGUUGACAUUCAACAACACUUCUUUGCAUCACUGUGAUGAAUGUAAUGAUGGAGUAGUUGAUAUUACCUCUUCGGGACAUACAAUUUAAACACUACGUAACCUGUUAAUGGAGUAACCAGGUGAUGUCUUAAUGGCGAAGUUGAAUAACAGCAUUUAGUGAUCAAGCUCCCCUGUCCAGAAGCUGACAAAAUGGUGAAGACAUUCCAAGCAUAUCUACCAAGUUGUCACAGACGUUACAGCUGCAUACACUGUAGAGCACACCUGGCUAACCAUGACGACCUUAUAUCUAAGUCUUUCCAGGGGAGCCAAGGACGUGCAUACCUCUUCAAUUCUGUUGUGAACAUUGCCUGUGGCCCUGCAGAGGAGAGGGUUUUACUGACGGGUUUGCAUGCUGUCUCAGACAUCUUCUGUGAAUGUUGUAAGACCACCUUAGGAUGGAAAUAUGAGCAUGCCUUUGAAAACAGUCAGAAAUACAAGGAGGGCAAGUACAUCAUCGAAUUGGCACACAUGAUCAAGGACAAUGGAUGGGACUGUGACUGAGUUUGCAGCCAGUCAAGGCUGUACAUGUACGUUGACAGUCAUGGGUAUUAAGCAGAGUUGAAACCAGCACUUACUAAAAAAGUGAGCUAUGAACCUGGUCAUUCUGGUUAAAAUGCCCUUAGCAAUAUUUUAUGUAUUGAAUGGUGCCAAGACCCAAAGUGCCCAUUUUAUCAGCAGCUCAGUGUUAGCAUGCUGCUGCUGAAUAAGGAUUUUAAUUUGAUGUAUUAUAAAGAAUCCUACUUGUCACUCAAAUACCUAAGACUGCCACACAAAUCUAGGAAAGUACUUGGCUUACCUGGUCAAGUGGUCACCACCUCAACAGAAAGCAUUCUGAUGAGUAUUCUGACAACAUAAAGGCAGCAUUGUGUUUCUGAGAUAAAAAUACAGGAACUAUUGUUUAACUGGUCUUCAUUAUGAAGUAAACAGGUAGACUUGUCUUUGCGACUAUAUCCUUCAAAAAAAAAGCUGAGGAAAUUGUGUAAUAUUGUAAAAAAAAAAGUAUGAAAUUAUUUAAUUGUGUCCUUCUUUGACCUUAUGGAAGGGAGGCUUGUACCGGUAGAUGUAAUUUUAUGUUUGAUAAACCUUACAAAGUCGACCUUGAGUACAGAUUUAUAAAUUAUUUUUUAAUGCUACGGUAUCAUAAAUGCAUGUAGAUGUAAAAAUUUACGAUAACUAUUGUUGCAAUCUGUAUCAAGCACAGGGCUGUACAAUACAGCAAUUCUGUAACAAAGUUAACUUGGCCAAAGCUACGGAAGUAAGUUAUUAACCUCUUAAAGGAGUGGGAACCACUAUGGUUACAUGUUUAUCCAUUUAAGUCAAACUCAUCAAUUGUUCUUAUGUUCUUAUGUGUAAGGGCAAGUCAAAGAUAAAACGCAUGUAAAAUCUCUAUCUUUUCACUCUUAAUAUAAAUCAUAAUUUUUUCUCUUGAAAACAGUCACAACCAACAAAAACAUGAAGAGAUACCAGACCAUAGAAGUAUGUGUUAAAACCGAGUCAGAGGGCAAUGGUUUUGUGUCACUGGGAUAGGCAUGAGUAAACCUUUUGUGCAUUUUUUGCCACUAAAUUUAAUUUACAAAAUACAAAUAACACCUUCUGAGGCACCUAAAAAGAAAAGGACCAAACAAUUUGGUAGAUAGUCUUCCUGACCAUAAUGUCACAUAUUUUAGUUUUAAUUGUACACUUUACUAGUAUUGGUGUCAUUGCCUGGACAGGUUAUAUUAGGAACUCAACAUUUCCUGCAUCAUACAGUGAAACAUGUAAUCUGAUUUACUGCAGUAUGGUUUUGAAUUAAAAAGUACAAGCAUGAUUAGAAUCUAGGACCUCAAGAGUAUUAAACAUGAGGCUUGGCCUCGCCUGCUUUGCGGGGAAGACAGCUUGCCCGCCUGCUACCUGCUACGUGGGUGUGUUGACCACUAUGCGGGAAGGCGCCUUUACAUAUGUAGCCCAUGGGAGGGGGGGGGGGGGAGUCUCCGCUUUGAUGAACUCAUGAACACAAACAUACACUCCCACCCAUUGUGCUUUUUGGUAUAGCGUUGAUGUGCCUGUUCCUCCCCUUUUUUUCCAACAUAUCUGUGCAGGGCAAAUGGUCAGAAUAUUUUUCAGCCUGUUACUCAGCUCAAUUGCUUAACCUGUGCUUUGCGGCCAGGGAUCACUCCCCACAUAGAAACACAACACGGUGAUGAACAGUUAUCAGUUAUCUUUACUUUGUUUAAUAACAUAUUGAUUCAUUGUACAUGUCAUACCAUAGUGAUGUACAUUGAUGAUACAGAAUGUCCUUUCGUGCCACAUUGUGUCGUCUAUCACUAAGCUGUAUCACCAGAAACCUAGUACAUACAUGUAUUUCUGUACACGGGCUUUAUUCACGAGUCGGCCAUAUCAAAUUGAAAGCGAGGUGACAUCUUCAUUGUUGGAACUCGCGAAGGGAAAUGAAAGCAAUGACAUAAUUAUUUUAAUACCAGUCUGGUCUGAUGAAUAAUUUGAAAUUUGUGAGUUAACACAUUUGUGAUUAGCCACAUUUAAAAAGAAAGUGAAAGUGAGGAUCAAUGCAUUUAGUCUGGCGCCAUCCCAUUCAACAUUCACAAUUUAUAAAAUACAUUCAGGGAACACGACCAAAAUGGCUUCCUCUUGAAUAAGUUCCAUACAUGCAUUUAACUGUUAGUUUUCAUACCGAUCCACACUGACAUUUGGUACAUGUAUAAGUCCAGUGGAUAUGUUCUGUAAGCCUAUUACAAGGUUGUGCUUUUCGCCAUAAAACGCCAUCUUUUGUACAGAAGUGAAAUCCUAUUGAAAUUACCAAAAGUUCAGCUAAAUUUUAACUUUCUGGGGGAAAAAAAGAAAGAAAGAGAAACACCCAAAACCAUGCUUGUAGAUCUCAAUUGCUUCUUUUUUGAUCAAAGUAUAAAAAAGUGAUCAGGUAAGAACUCAUGAAAAUGCAUGUACCUGUAUUCUGGUAUGGGUUAAUAUACCUGAGACCUAAUGACGUCACGUUUUGUUUACAUAAUGCGCUUUGCUAUGAGAGCCAGGUGGUACACAUCCCACCUGGUUCUCAUAGGAAAGUGCACAUGUAAACAAAGCGUGACGUCAUUAGGUCUUGGGUUUUUUCUGUGCACUAAUACGAGAGGGUGCUUUUUUACCACUUUUGAGAGCCCCUUGGACGGGACUCACCGUGUGUGCAUACAGGUUCCUGCGCAUAUAACGCGAAGUACGCGCAACAAAUUAUAGCCAUCUUUGGCGAUGCGUUCCAAUGUCACUCCAAGUAAUCUCCCCCAACUGUCCCUUUCUUACUGGGGAGGGGGUACUUGCGCACGGAGUGGAUAGACUAAUCUCGUGACAGCCAUUUUGUUAAGUGGCAUCAGGCUCAUGCGAGUUGCGCUCGGGUAGUACGCACACACUCUGGGAUACCUUCGACCAAUAGGGUUACCAAAAUGUGUGCACACCUUGUCUUAAAGAACACAUACCCUUUCACGUGAAUAUGGUACCACCUCAAAAAUGGCUUCUACUGUUGGCCGGAUUAGUUGUUGUGCAUAUUUACAUAGCUACACCAAUUAGUAGUCAGGUGGCGCAUGGUAGGAAUCGUGAAAGACUGGUCCAAAGCACUACCAAAUUUUGCAGAUAGAUUCUUAUAGCCCUAAAGAUGAUAAGUAGAAGAGGUGAUACCCGAAUUCUUUUGAGAAGGGUGCCUAAUUUGCGAUAAAUACCUGCUGUAUAAUAUAUUUAUUCCCAUUUUGGGGUAUAUUUUAUUAUUUUUUAUAUUUUGAAAAGUAUAUUUUGGGGAUUCUACUUACAUAUUCUUACUUAAAUAACAUUUUCUAAAGCACAUCAGAGACUCGAUGAUUAUAAGGACAUUAUGAUUCAAAAGGGCUACUACUAUACCCUAAAGUUGCGCGUAUUUACCUUUUCCUCAGAUAUCAACUGCUAGUCUUGCCAAACCAGUUGAGGAGCUUCAAAUUCACAAACUAACUUACUGGCACCUAACAAAUAUAAAUGAGAAAUUCAUGUGAAAACUGAUAACGUCUUGAUAUUGAGCCCCCUCCCCAAAAAUGAGAAAAAAUACCGAGGUUUGGCAAGACUACUUGAUAUCUGGAGAAAAGGUAAAUGCGUGCAACUGUAGGGUGUAAUAAUAGCCAUUUUGGAUCUUUACUAUUGUCCUCUCAUUAUCCAGUCACUUAUAUGCUUUAGAAAAUGUUAUUCAAGUAAAGAUAUUUCAGAAGGGUCCCCAAAAUAUACUUUUCAAAAAAUAAUACCCACAUUAUAGGGGACAAAAAUAUUACACGGCAGGUAGUUACAAUUUAUGCAAAUUAGGAGGCACCCUUCCCAAAAGAAUUUUAAGUGUCGCCCCUUCUAAAUAUCUUCUCUGGGCUAUGAGAAUCUAUCUGCCAUGUUUGGUGCUUUGGACCAAUCUAUGCUCUCGAAAAUCAUAAACUUGCAAUUAGAUAAAAAUUUUCUACAACUUCAAGCCUGUCAUUUCGGAACAUUCUGAAUGCUUUCUUCGGGUUCCAAUCAACAAAUACGCUACUUAUCUUCAGCAAUUUCUAUUGAUUCAGUCCAUGCACGCAUAAGCUGCAUCUAACCUGAGAGUUAUGAACCAUCAGUUUGAUAAAAUAUUGCACCCAUAAUCCAGUGUUUUUGUGAUAGCCAAACAUUUGUAAAUACAUGUACAUAUCUUAAUGCUUUAUUAUUAAAAAUAAAAAGGUUUUACAUGUUAUCUUCUGUGUUUUACCAUAGAUCGUCAGCAUUUUCAGUAAAGAUGUACCAGCUGUGCUAUUGCCCUGUUUUACCUAGCCUUUCGUCAAGGCAAUCGUGGCUCAGAGCGACAUUGAAUUUUGCAUUCUGGAAAAAGAACAAAUCAUUUGUUACAUAUAAAAGAGAAAAUGUCAAAUUUGAAAUGGACCUCAAAAUAUAAUCAUGCACAAGUUUGCUUUCAGUGAGUCCUUUUAGUAUUCAAGUUGACCUUGUUAAUUGAACACAAUCAUGCAGGACAGAUUUUUUUGACAUGGUUCUCAAUAAGCAAAGGCGAUAAUUUUUCCCAAUACAAUGAGUGGGGUCAUGAAACACUCUGUAUGUCCCUCAUUACAUAUUUUAAGUAGUAAUUCAAUUGUUCAUAUCAAUGAAGGAAUUAUUUGCUUUUUAGGGGGUCUACCCGAUGUUCCCCAAUACGUAUGUUCCCCAAUACCGAUAUCCCCCGGGCUAGGGUUAGGGUAAUGAUUUCGGGGAACAUCGGUAUUGGGGAACAUAGGUAUUGGGGAACAUAGAUAUGCACCCGCUUAUUAGUAUUUGACUUGAUUUAGAAAUAAAUUAUUGCAGUCAAAAUCAAAGUCUGUAGACUUCAGUAUGUGUGCACCAUUGUAAAAAAAUUGUGUUUUGCUGAUGGUCAUUGACACGGUAUACUUUUUAACCAUGCAUUUUAAAUUUCUGGAUAGAGGUUUAUAAGCCCAUCAUAUUCUCAAUCAACAGUACGGUGAACCAUUUCUACACUUUUUUAAUUACACGAAAUCCACCAGUCAGUUACAGACCGCUACUCCAAUCCCAUACUCGCAUCCCCCCCCCCUACAGGUUUGGUGUACGUUGAAGACUUUUCAUUGUCACUGGUAAUUACUUGUACUUUUUGUUAGUACGUUCAAGUUUCUGCAAAUGAUUUUGUUUGAUAAAUAUCUAAGGGUAACUUGCUAAUCAAGAACACAUUACCUUUUGUGUCCUCGAUAUACACCCAACACCAACUGAUCAGAGUAUCUUGGUGAGCUUGUAAACGUGAUUAUGAUAGAUAGUUACUUUGUUAAUUCCGGAAAUAAUUAUACUUUCUCUAGUAUGUGUGUGUAUUGCAUGCAUCAUGUGAUUCAAUAGUUGUAGGAUUUUCUUCGAUAUUCUGUGCCUUUAAGAUUUGAAAACCUGUCCCUGAAUGCUUUCGUUCAAUUUCGACAUUUAAUUUAUUAAAUUGAUAAAAGAAACCGUG
RNAcentral lists this long non-coding RNA (6660 nucleotides) under Patiria miniata (bat star). RNAcentral's name for it is "uncharacterized LOC119726994". The record is from RNAcentral. Lineage: Eukaryota; Metazoa; Echinodermata; Asteroidea; Valvatida; Asterinidae.